RNAcentral lists this ribosomal RNA (494 nucleotides) under uncultured bacterium. Its description in RNAcentral is "partial 16S ribosomal RNA". It matches the Rfam family "Bacterial small subunit ribosomal RNA", at positions 28 to 507 of the family's 1533-position model. The record is from RNAcentral.
GACGAACGCUGGCGGCGUGCUUAACACAUGCAAGUCGAACGGAAAGGCCUGCUUUCCCUUGUGGAUUGCGGGUACUCGAGUGGCGAACGGGUGAGUAACACGUGAGUGAUCUGCCCCCAACUUGGGUAUAAGCCUGGGAAACUGGGUCUAAUUCCCGAUAGGACUGCAGGGUGGUGCCUGUGGUGGAAAACGAUUUUCUAGUGGUUGGGGAUGAGCUCGCGGCCUAUCAGCUUGUUGGUGGGGUAAUGGCCUACCAAGGCGGCGACGGGUAGCCGGCCUGGGAUGGUAGACGGCCGCAUUGGGACUGAGAUACGGCCCAGACUCCUACGGGCGGCAGCAGUGGGGAAUAUUGCACAAUGGGCGGAAGCCUGAUGCAGCGACGCCGCGUGGGGGAUGACGGCCUUCGGGUUGUAAACUCCUUUCGACCGCGAGGAAGCCACCUGGUUGGAAGGGUGGUGACGGUAGUGGUAGAAGAAGCACCGGCUAACUACGUG